RNAcentral lists this ribosomal RNA (526 nucleotides) under Coniochaeta sp. Its description in RNAcentral is "eukaryotic LSU rRNA". The stretch from base 175 to 328 matches the Rfam family "5.8S ribosomal RNA". Lineage: Eukaryota; Fungi; Ascomycota; Sordariomycetes; Coniochaetales; Coniochaetaceae. The record is from RNAcentral.
UUAGAAGCCGAAAGGCUACUUAAAACCAUCGCGAACUCGUCCAAGUUGCUUCGGCGGCGCGGCCUCCCUCACGGGGGCGCCGCAGCCCCGCCUCUCCGGAGGUGUGGGGCGCCCGCCGGAGGUACGAAACUCUGUAUUAUAGUGGCAUCUCUGAGUAAAAAACAAAUAAGUUAAAACUUUCAACAACGGAUCUCUUGGUUCUGGCAUCGAUGAAGAACGCAGCGAAAUGCGAUAAGUAAUGUGAAUUGCAGAAUUCAGUGAAUCAUCGAAUCUUUGAACGCACAUUGCGCCCGCUAGUACUCUAGCGGGCAUGCCUGUUCGAGCGUCAUUUCAACCCUCAAGCCCUGCUUGGUGUUGGGGCCCUACGGCUGCCGUAGGCCCUGAAAGGAAGUGGCGGGCUCGCUACAACUCCGAGCGUAGUAAUUCAUUAUCUCGCUAGGGACGUUGCGGCGCGCUCCUGCCGUUAAAGACCAUCUUUAACUCAAGGUUGACCUCGGAUCAGGUAGGAAUACCCGCUGAACUUAAG